UACGGAGGGUGCGAGCGUUGUCCGGAAUCGCUGGGCGUAAAGCGCGUGUCGGCGGUCCGUUAAGUCUGAUGUGAAAGCCCGGGGCUCACCCCCGGAAGGGCAUUGGAAACUGACGGACUCGAGUCCCGGAGAGGAGGGUGGAAUUCCUGGUGUAGCGGUGAAAUGCGUAGAUAUCAGGAGGAACACCGGUGGCGAAGGCGGCCCUCUGGACGGUGACUGACGCUGAGACGCGAAAGCGUGGGGAGCAAACAGG
This 253-nucleotide ribosomal RNA is filed under the name uncultured bacterium. RNAcentral's name for it is "partial 16S ribosomal RNA". It matches the Rfam family "Bacterial small subunit ribosomal RNA", at positions 524 to 776 of the family's 1533-position model. The record is from RNAcentral.